ACUCAGUGAACUGAAACAUCUUAGUAGCUGAAGGAAAAGAAAGCAAAAGCGAUUCCCAAAGUAGCGGCGAGCGAAAUGGGACCAGUCUAAAAGAAACAUGUAUGUUUCUGGUUAUAGGACCAAACACAAAGGUAUAGAAAAUCUUGAGAAACGAAGCAGCUGAAACCUGCGCCAUAGAUGGUGAAAGCCCAGUCGUUGAAUCUUGACUCAAUGCCGUUUGGCUCCCAAGUAGUAUGGGGCACGUGAAAUCCCGUAUGAAUUCGCGAGGACCACCUCGUAAGACUAAAUACUCCUAGGUCACCGAUAGCGAAAAGUACCGCGAGGGAAAGAUGAAAAGAACCCCUUUGAGGGGAGUGAAAUAGAACAUGAAACCGUAUACUUACAAUUGGUAGGAGGAUGAACACAUCUGACUGCAUGCCUGUUGAAGAAUGAUCUGGCGACUUACGGUAAGUGGCAUGGUUAAGAUUUUUCAUCGAAGCCAAAGCGAAAGCAUGUCUGAAUAGGGCACUCGUCCCUUAUCGUAGACCCGAACCCAGGUGAUCUAACCAUGACCAGAAUGAAGCUUUGGUGAUACGAAGUGGAGGUUCGAACCGACCGAUGUUAAAAAAUCGACGGAUGAGUUGUGGUUAGGGGUGAAAUGCCAAUCGAACUUGGAGCUAGCUGGUUCUCCUCGAAAUGCGUUGAGGCGCAGCGGUUAAUUAUGAACUUUUAGGGGGUAAAGCUACUGUUUCGGUGCGGGCUGCGAAAGCGGUACCAAUCUGUUGCAAACUCGGAAUACCUAAAAUGACUUCAAUUAGCCAGUGAGACUAUGGGGGACAAGCUUCAUAGUCAAAAGGGAAACAGCCCAGACCAUCAGUUAAGGCUCCUAAAUAAAAGCUAAGUGGUAAAGGAGGUGAAAACGCAGUGACAAUCAGGAGGUUUGCCUAGAAGCAGCCACCCUUUAAAGAGUGCGUAAUAGCUCACUGAUCAAGCGUUUUUGCGCCGAAAAUUUCCGGAACUAAGUUUUUUGCCGAAGCUAUGGAUAUAUUACUAACAUAAUAUGUGGUAGAGGAGCGUUCCGCCCAGGGAGAAGCCAAGCGCGUAAGCCGCGGUGGACAGGGCGGAAGUGAGAAUGUCAGAUUGAGUAACGAAAACACUAGUGAGAAUCUAGUGCCCCGAAAACGUAAGGGUUCCUCUGCAAGGCUCGUCCUCAGAGGGUCAGUCAGGACCUAAGGUGAGGCCGAAAGGCGUAAUCGAUGGAAAGAAGGCUUAUAUUCCUUCACUAUUACUUUAUUA
This 1275-nucleotide ribosomal RNA is filed under the name Ostreococcus mediterraneus. RNAcentral's name for it is "partial Bacterial large subunit ribosomal RNA". It matches the Rfam family "Bacterial large subunit ribosomal RNA", at positions 183 to 1457 of the family's 2925-position model. Lineage: Eukaryota; Viridiplantae; Chlorophyta; Mamiellophyceae; Mamiellales; Bathycoccaceae. The record is from RNAcentral.